Molecule: long non-coding RNA, 614 nt
Organism: Anser brachyrhynchus (Pink-footed goose)
Lineage: Eukaryota; Metazoa; Chordata; Aves; Anseriformes; Anatidae
Source: Ensembl
UACAAGGCCGUGGUGGGAGCGGAACUGCUUCUUUCCACCCCCACCUGCGGCUGGGAUGCGAGGCAGGGGGGGCACCGUGGGAUGGGGCGGGCGGCGUGUUACAUUCCACAGGAUUUGGUUAUGAGGACAAAGCCAGGACCCCUCGGGCAGAGGGAUGCUCUCCCAGGGCCAUCCCCGGACAUGCCUCUGCCUGGGGUUUGCCACAAAAGGCAUUCGCAUUUGGUCCCUAUGCUCAGAAUGAAAGAAAAGCCAUCUAAUUGCUGCCGGCUGAGCUGGAGGACUGCAAACAGAAACUCGAAGGAGGCCGUGUGGUGUGGAGCCCUUGGAUCCUCAGCAAAUCCAUGGGUCACACCAGGGGGAGCCCGGAUCUGUCCUCUGGCCUGCCGGGCGCUGAGCUCGGGGGAAAGGAGGGGCCCAGCAAAAUAUUCUGCGAUGAAGCAAGGCAGCAGCGCGUACCCAGCCCUCCCUCUGUGCAGAGACCUCUCGCCGAGGGCCCUUACAGAGCCCCCGAGGUCCCUGCCCUUCUGCCAGAGCCCCUGCCUCCACUGCCAAGUAUUUCCCACUGGGAUCAUUUUUAAUAAGAAAAAAAUGACUUUUGGUCAAACGCUGCUUUG